CGCGUAGGCGGCUUAUCAAGUCAGGCGUGAAAGCCCCGGGCUUAACCUGGGAACUGCGCUUGAGACUGUUAGGCUUGAGUUUCGGAGAGGUAGGUGGAAUUCCCAGUGUAGAGGUGAAAUUCGUAGAUAUUGGGAAGAACACCGGUGGCGAAGGCGGCCUACUGGACGAAUACUGACGCUGAGGCGCGAAAGCGUGGGGAGCAAACA
This 207-nucleotide ribosomal RNA is filed under the name uncultured bacterium. RNAcentral describes it as "partial 16S ribosomal RNA". It matches the Rfam family "Bacterial small subunit ribosomal RNA", at positions 568 to 774 of the family's 1533-position model. The record is from RNAcentral.